RNAcentral lists this ribosomal RNA (2744 nucleotides) under Clostridioides difficile. RNAcentral describes it as "bacterial LSU rRNA". It matches the Rfam family "Bacterial large subunit ribosomal RNA". The record is from RNAcentral. Lineage: Bacteria; Bacillati; Bacillota; Clostridia; Peptostreptococcales; Peptostreptococcaceae.
AGGGUGCAGGGCGGAUGCCUUGGCACUAGGAGCCGAUGAAGGACGUGAUAAGCUGCGAUAAGCUUCGGGGAGUUGCACGUAAACUUUGAUCCGAAGAUUUCCGAAUGAGGAAACUCACUUAGAGUAAUGUCUAAGUAUCAUUAAGUGAAUACAUAGCUUAAUGAGGGGAACUCAGGGAACUGAAACAUCUAAGUACCUGAAGGAAGAGAAAGAAAUUCGAUUCCGUAAGUAGCGGCGAGCGAACGCGGAUUAGCCCAAACCAAUAAAGUUUUCUUUAUUGGGGUUGCGGACAUAUCAUAACGAAGAGGUAUCGUAAUUGAAGAGGUUUGGAAAGACCCACCACAGAAGGUAAUAGUCCUGUAUGUUAAACGAGAAGACUUCAGAUAUGAUCCAGAGUACCACGGGACACGUGAAACCCUGUGGGAAGCAGGAGGGACCACCCUCCAAGGCUAAAUACUACCUAGUGACCGAUAGCGUAUAGUACCGUGAGGGAAAGGUGAAAAGAACCCCGGGAGGGGAGUGAAAUAGAACCUGAAACCCUGCACUUACAAGCUGUGGAAGCACAUUUCUUGUGUGACCGCGUACUUUUUGUAGAACGGGCCAACGAGUUACGUUAAGUAGCAAGGUUAAGCACUUAAGGUGCGGAGCCGUAGCGAAAGCGAGUUUUAACUGAGCGUUCAGUUACUUGACGUAGACCCGAAACCGGGCGACCUACCCAUGAGCAGGAUGAAGCGAAAGUAAAAUUUCGUGGAGGUCCGAACCCACGAGCGUUGAAAAGCUCGGGGAUGACUUGUGGGUAGCGGUGAAAUUCCAAUCGAGCCCGGAGAUAGCUGGUUCUCCCCGAAAUAGCUUUAGGGCUAGCCUCAAGGUGAGAGAUACGGAGGUAGAGCACUGAAUGUCCUAGGGGGUAUUGCACCUACCGAAGACUAUCAAACUCCGAAUGCCGUCAUCUUAUACUUGGGAGUCAGACUGUGGGUGAUAAGAUUCAUAGUCGAAAGGGCAACAGCCCAGAUCGUCAGCUAAGGUCCCUAAAUGUAAGUUAAGUGGUAAAGGAUGUGGGAUUGCACAGACAACCAGGAUGUUGGCUUAGAAGCAGCCACUCAUUCAAAGAGUGCGUAAUAGCUCACUGGUCGAGUGAUCCUGCGCCGAAGAUUUCCGGGGCUAAAACUUACUACCGAAGCUACGGCAUCAGUAAUGAUGGGUAGGGGAGCUUCCCAUACGGGUUGAAGCAUGACCGUAAGGACAUGUGGACAGUAUGGGAGUGAGAAUGUUGGCAUGAGUAGCGAGAUGUGGGUGAGAAUCCCACAGGCCGUAAACCCAAGGUUUCCAGGGGAAGGUUCGUCCGCCCUGGGUUAGUCGGGACCUAAGCUGAGGCCGAAAGGCGUAGGUGAUGGACAACAGGUUGAUAUUCCUGUACUACCGAUAACCGUUUGAGAGAAGGGAUGACACAGUAGGAUAAGCUAAGCACACUGUUGGUUAUGUGUGCCCAAGCAUUGAGGCAGUCAAAGUAGGCAAAUCCGCUUUGAUAAUGCUGGGAUGUGAUGGGGAGCGAAAUUUAGUAGCGAAGUAGCUGAUUUCACACUGUCAAGAAAAGUCUCUAUCGAGGUUAAAGGUACCCGUACCGCAAACCGACACAGGUGGGUGAGGAGAGUAUCCUAAGGCCAGCGAGAGAACUGUUGUUAAGGAACUCGGCAAAAUGACCCCGUAACUUAGGGAUAAGGGGUGCCACCAUCAGGUGGCCGCAGAGAAUAGGCCCAAGCGACUGUUUACCAAAAACAUAGGUUUCUGCUAAGUCGCAAGACGAUGUAUAGGAGCUGACGCCUGCCCGGUGCUGGAAGGUUAAGGGGAUCUGUUAGAGCAAUCGAAGCAGUGAACUUAAGCCCCAGUAAACGGCGGCCGUAACUAUAACGGUCCUAAGGUAGCGAAAUUCCUUGUCGGGUAAGUUCCGACCCGCACGAAAGGCGUAACGAUUUGGGCACUGUCUCAACAACAGACUCGGUGAAAUUGUAAUUCCGGUGAAGAUGCCGGAUACCUGCGACAGGACGGAAAGACCCCAUGGAGCUUUACUGUAGCUUGACAUUGGGUCUUGGUACUACAUGUACAGGAUAGGUGGGAGGCUUUGAAACCAGGACGCCAGUUUUGGCGGAGCCAUCCUUGGGAUACCACCCUUGUAGUACUGGGACUCUAACCAUAGGCCAUGAAUCUGGUCUUGGGACACUGUCAGGUGGGCAGUUUGACUGGGGCGGUCGCCUCCCAAAAGGUAACGGAGGCGCUCAAAGGUUCUCUCAGUACGGUCGGAAAUCGUACGUAGAGUGUAAAGGCAAAAGAGAGCUUGAUUGCAAGACAUACAGGUCGAGCAAGGAUGAAAAUCGGACUUAGUGAUCCGGUGGUUCUGCGUGGAAGGGCCAUCGCUCAACGGAUAAAAGCUACCCUGGGGAUAACAGGCUUAUCUCCCCCAAGAGUCCACAUCGACGGGGAGGUUUGGCACCUCGAUGUCGGCUCAUCACAUCCUGGGGCUGUAGUAGGUCCCAAGGGUUGGGCUGUUCGCCCAUUAAAGUGGUACGCGAGCUGGGUUCAGAACGUCGUGAGACAGUUCGGUCCCUAUCCGUCGCAGGCGUAGGAAAUUUGAGAAGACCUGUCCUUAGUACGAGAGGACCGGGAUGGACGUACCUCUGGUGUACCAGUUGUUCUGCCAAGGGCAUGGCUGGGUAGCUAUGUACGGAAUGGAUAAGCGCUGAAAGCAU